AAGCAACCCUAGCGCGCGUACUACGUUUGUACUACGCUACUCGACGCUGCUGCAGUCACGAAAGUUUUAGUUCGUUUCAAUCCCACGAGGUGGCAGCUUUAGUCAGCGUGAAGUUCGAUCCGUUUCGAGUCCUCGGACUCGUCGCCUGAGUGCAGCAGUGUCCGGAGUCCGAUUUGACAUUUAACGUUCUAGAUAGUCUCCGUGAGGAUUGGCUGUACCAUCAAUUCGAUCAGAGCUGAUUUUGGUGGCAAAUGGAUGAACAAUGCUGUCCUGUGGUAAAGUGCUCGUCUCAAUAACUGUACUUGUCGUUUGCCUUCAGUUCCUAUGUGCAAACGCCAUUUGCUGUUAUGGACAAAGAGAGGGCCUCUCUGUAUAUUGCCGAGAUGGAAAAAUAGCCCGAGAUGGCGAGUGCUGCGGCCGAGGCCCCUGCACAUCUGAUUGCUGUUUCUGUGAGCGGGGAUGCAGAGGGCCAGCCGGAUCCCGAGAUGAUCUCCGCUUGGCUGAGAGUCGACAACAAGAGCAAUGGACAUUCGUGGACAGCAAUUCCUCCGCAAAGAGAUGGCGUUAAACUAUUUUCUCUAGAUUAAAAAGCGCGCAUGACUAUUUCCUUUGCAAAAGAGAGCGCGUUUAUAUUUUCCUUCGCAAAAAA
RNAcentral lists this long non-coding RNA (649 nucleotides) under Bemisia tabaci. Its description in RNAcentral is "lncRNA ENSASIAIIG011736". The record is from RNAcentral. Lineage: Eukaryota; Metazoa; Arthropoda; Insecta; Hemiptera; Aleyrodidae.